Molecule: ribosomal RNA, 524 nt
Filed under: Salmonella enterica subsp. enterica serovar Infantis
Lineage: Bacteria; Pseudomonadati; Pseudomonadota; Gammaproteobacteria; Enterobacterales; Enterobacteriaceae
Also listed under: 33 other names
Description: partial 23S ribosomal RNA
Rfam family: Bacterial large subunit ribosomal RNA
Source: RNAcentral
GGGCGUUAAGUUGCAGGGUAUAGACCCGAAACCCGGUGAUCUAGCCAUGGGCAGGUUGAAGGUUGGGUAACACUAACUGGAGGACCGAACCGACUAAUGUUGAAAAAUUAGCGGAUGACCUGUGGCUGGGGGUGAAAGGCCAAUCAAACCGGGAGAUAGCUGGUUCUCCCCGAAAGCUAUUUAGGUAGCGCCUCGUGAAUUCAUCUCCGGGGGUAGAGCACUGUUUCGGCUAGGGGGCCAUCCCGGCUUACCAACCCGAUGCAAACUGCGAAUACCGGAGAAUGUUAUCACGGGAGACACACGGCGGGUGCUAACGUCCGUCGUGAAGAGGGAAACAACCCAGACCGCCAGCUAAGGUCCCAAAGUCAUGGUUAAGUGGGAAACGAUGUGGGAAGGCCCAGACAGCCAGGAUGUUGGCUUAGAAGCAGCCAUCAUUUAAAGAAAGCGUAAUAGCUCACUGGUCGAGUCGGCCUGCGCGGAAGAUGUAACGGGGCUAAACCAUGCACCGAAGCUGCGGCAGCGAC